GCCUGGGUGGCUCAGUCGGUUAAGUGUCUGACUUCGGCUCAGGUCAUGAUCUUGCUGUGGGUUCGAGCCCCGCGUCGGGCU
Transfer RNA from Felis catus (domestic cat), 81 nucleotides. It matches the Rfam family "tRNA". From Rfam's summary of the family: Transfer RNA (tRNA) molecules are approximately 80 nucleotides in length. Their secondary structure includes four short double-helical elements and three loops (D, anti-codon, and T loops). Further hydrogen bonds mediate the characteristic L-shaped molecular structure. tRNAs have two regions of fundamental functional importance: the anti-codon, which is responsible for specific mRNA codon recognition, and the 3' end, to which the tRNAs corresponding amino acid is attached (by aminoacyl-tRNA synthetases). tRNAs cope with the degeneracy of the genetic code in two manners: having more than one tRNA (with a specific anti-codon) for a particular amino acid; and 'wobble' base-pairing, i.e. permitting non-standard base-pairing at the 3rd anti-codon position. The record is from Rfam. NCBI's taxonomy places the organism in Eukaryota, Metazoa, Chordata, Mammalia, Carnivora, Felidae.